UGGGGAAUAUUGCACAAUGGGCGAAAGCCUGAUGCAGCAACGCCGCGUGAGUGAUGAAGGCCUUCGGGUUGUAAAGCUCUGUCUUUUGGGACGAUAAUGACGGUACCAAAGGAGGAAGCCACGGCUAACUACGUGCCAGCAGCCGCGGUAAUACGUAGGUGGCAAGCGUUGUCCGGAUUUACUGGGCGUAAAGGAUGCGUAGGCGGAUUUUUAAGUGAGAUGUGAAAACCCUAAGCUUAACUUGGGGACUGCAUUUCAUACUGGAAAUCUAGAGUGCGGGAGAGGAGAAUGGAAUUCCUAGUGUAGCGGUGAAAUGCGUAGAGAUUAGGAAGAACACCAGUGGCGAAGGCGAUUCUCUGGACCGUAACUGACGCUGAGGCAUGAAAGCGUGGGUAGCAAACAGGAUUAGAUACCCUGGUAGUCCACGCCGUAAACGAUGAGUACUAGGUGUAGGAGGUAUCGACCCCUUCUGUGCCGCAGUUAACACAAUAAGUACUCCGCCUGGGAAGUACGAUCGCAAGAUUAAAAACUCAAAGGAAUUGACGGGGGUCAUAGCUGUUUUUCCU
RNAcentral lists this ribosomal RNA (566 nucleotides) under uncultured bacterium. RNAcentral describes it as "partial 16S ribosomal RNA". It matches the Rfam family "Bacterial small subunit ribosomal RNA", at positions 355 to 940 of the family's 1533-position model. The record is from RNAcentral.